GCUUGCUUUAAAAGGUUAGCGGCGGACGGGUGAGUAACACGUGGGCAACCUGCCUGUAAGACUGGGAUAACGCCGGGAAACCCGGGGCUAAUACCAGAUAGUUUUUUUCUCCGCAUGGAGGAAAAAAGGAAAGGCGGCUUCGGCUGCCACUUACAGAUGGGCCCGCGGCGCAUUAGCUAGUUGGCGGGGUAAUGGCCCACCAAGGCAACGAUGCGUAGCCGACCUGAGAGGGUGAUCGGCCACAUUGGGACUGAGACACGGCCCAAACUCCUACGGGAGGCAGCAGUAGGGAAUCUUCCGCAAUGGACGAAAGUCUGACGGAGCAACGCCGCGUGAGUGAAGAAGGCCUUCGGGUCGUAAAACUCUGUUGCCGGGGAAGAACAAGUGCCGUUCGAACAGGGCGGCGCCUUGACGGUACCCGGCCAGAAAGCCACGGCUAACUACGUGCCAGCAGCCGCGGUAAUACGUAGGUGGCAAGCGUUGUCCGGAAUUAUUGGGCGUAAAGCGCGCGCAGGCGGCUUCUUAAGUCUGAUGUGAAAUCUUGCGGCUCAACCGCAAGCGGUCAUUGGAAACUGGGAGGCUUGAGUGCAGAAGAGGAGAGUGGAAUUCCACGUGUAGCGGUGAAAUGCGUAGAGAUGUGGAGGAACACCAGUGGCGAAGGCGGCUCUCUGGUCUGUAACUGACGCUGAGGCGCGAAAGCGUGGGGAGCAAACAGGAUUAGAUACCCUGGUAGUCCACGCCGUAAACGAUGAGUGCUAAGUGUUAGAGGGUUUCCACCCUUUAGUGCUGCAGCUAACGCAUUAAGCACUCCGCCUGGGGAGUACGGCCGCAAGGCUGAAACUCAAAGGAAUUGACGGG
This 858-nucleotide ribosomal RNA is filed under the name uncultured bacterium. RNAcentral describes it as "bacterial SSU rRNA". It matches the Rfam family "Bacterial small subunit ribosomal RNA", at positions 78 to 917 of the family's 1533-position model. The record is from RNAcentral.